GACGAACGCUGGCGGCGUGCUUAACACAUGCAAGUCGAACGAUGAACCCGGAGCUUGCUCCGGUGGAUUAGUGGCGAACGGGUGAGUAACACGUGAGUAACCUGCCCUUGACUCUGGGCUAACUGCGGGAAACUGUAGCUAAUACCGGAUAAGCCCCUCGGCGGCAUCGCCAGGGGGUGGAAAGCAUUUCGGUCAAGGAUGGACUCGGGGCCUAUCAGCUAGUUGGUGAGGGAACGGCUCACCAAGGGGACGACGGGUGGCCGGCCUGCGGGGGUGACCGGCCACACUGGGACGGGGAAACGGCCCAGACUCCUACGGGAGGCAGAGGUGGGGAAUAUUGCACGAUGGGCGCAAGGCUGACGCAGCUACGCCGCGUGAGGGAUGACGGCCUUCGGGUUGUAAACCUCUUUUAGUAGGGAAGAAGCGAAGUGACGGUACCUGCAGAAAAAGCACCGGCUACCUACGUGCCAGCCGCCGCGGUAA
Molecule: ribosomal RNA, 483 nt
Filed under: uncultured bacterium
Lineage: Bacteria
Description: partial 16S ribosomal RNA
Rfam family: Bacterial small subunit ribosomal RNA
Source: RNAcentral